RNAcentral lists this ribosomal RNA (466 nucleotides) under uncultured bacterium. Its description in RNAcentral is "partial 16S ribosomal RNA". It matches the Rfam family "Bacterial small subunit ribosomal RNA", at positions 28 to 507 of the family's 1533-position model. The record is from RNAcentral.
GACGAACGCUGGCGGCGUGCUUAACACAUGCAAGUCGAACGGAAAGGCCUCUUUCGGGGGGUACUCGAGUGGCGAACGGGUGAGUAACACGUGAGUAACCUGCCCUUGACUUUGGGAUAACUUCAGGAAACUGGGGCUAAUACCGGAUAGGAGCUCCUGCUGCAUGGUGGGGGUUGGAAAGUUUCGGCGGUUGGGGAUGGACUCGCGGCUUAUCAGCUUGUUGGUGGGGUAGUGGCUUACCAAGGCUUUGACGGGUAGCCGGCCUGAGAGGGUGACCGGCCACAUUGGGACUGAGAUACGACCCAGACUCCUACAGGAGGCAGCAGUGCCGAAUAUUCCACAAUGGGCGGAAGCCUGAUGCAGCAACGCCGCGUGCGGAAUGACGGCCUUCGGGUUGUAAACCGCUUUCGCCUGUGACGAAGCGUGAGUGACGGUAAUGGGUAAAGAAGCACCGGCUAACUACGUG